AGCUCCAUAAUGUAGUAGUAGGCACAUCUGCUUUACACACAGAAGGUCCUGGGUUCAUGCCCCAGGUGAAGCCA
Molecule: transfer RNA, 74 nt
Filed under: Pteropus alecto (black flying fox)
Lineage: Eukaryota; Metazoa; Chordata; Mammalia; Chiroptera; Pteropodidae
Rfam family: tRNA
About the family: Transfer RNA (tRNA) molecules are approximately 80 nucleotides in length. Their secondary structure includes four short double-helical elements and three loops (D, anti-codon, and T loops).
Source: Rfam by way of RNAcentral